AACGCGAAGAACCUUACCAAGUCUUGACAUCCCGGUGCCAAUGCAUGUAAUGUGCACUUUCUUCGGAACACCGGUGACAGGUGGUGCAUGGUUGUCGUCAGCUCGUGUCGUGAGAUGUUGGGUUAAGUCCCGCAACGAGCGCAACCCCUGUCCUUAGUAGCCAGCAGGUAAAGCUGGGCACUCUAGGGAGACUGCCAGGGAUAACCUGGAGGAAGGCGGGGAUGACGUCAAAUCAUCAUGCCCCUUAUGACUUGGGCUACACACGUGCUACAAUGGCGUAAACAAAGGGAAGCGAAGCUGUGAGGUGGAGCGAAUCCCAAAAAUAACGUCUCAGUUCGGACUGUAGUCUGCAACUCGACUACACGAAGCUGGAAUCGCUAGUAAUCGCGAAUCAGAAUGUCGCGGUGAAUACGUUCCGGGUCUUGUACACACCG
This 434-nucleotide ribosomal RNA is filed under the name uncultured bacterium. RNAcentral describes it as "bacterial SSU rRNA". It matches the Rfam family "Bacterial small subunit ribosomal RNA", at positions 958 to 1392 of the family's 1533-position model. The record is from RNAcentral.